GACGAACGCUGGCGGCGUGCUUAACACAUGCAAGUCGAACGGUAAGGCCCUUCGGGGUACACGAGUGGCGAACGGGUGAGUAACACGUGGGUGAUCUGCCCUGCACUUCGGGAUAAGCCUGGGAAACUGGGUCUAAUACCGGAUAGGACUCCUGGCUUCAUGGUUGGGGGUGUAAAGCUUUUGCGGUGUGGGAUGGGCCCGCGGCCUAUCAGCUUGUUGGUGGGGUAAUGGCCUACCAAGGCGACGACGGGUAGCCGGCCUGAGAGGGUAACCGGUACCACUGGGACUGAGAUACGGCCCAGAAGCCUACGGGAGGCAGCAGUGGGGAAUAUUGCACAAUGGGCGCAAGCCUGAUGCAGCGACGCCGCGUGAGGGAUGACGGCCUUCGGGUUGUAAACCUCUUUCAGCUAUGACGAAGCGCAAGUGACGGUAGUAGCAGAAGAAGGACCGGCCAACUACGUGCCAGCCGCCGCAGUAA
Molecule: ribosomal RNA, 478 nt
Filed under: uncultured bacterium
Lineage: Bacteria
Description: partial 16S ribosomal RNA
Rfam family: Bacterial small subunit ribosomal RNA
Source: RNAcentral